Molecule: long non-coding RNA, 353 nt
Organism: Dioscorea cayenensis subsp. rotundata (Guinea yam)
Lineage: Eukaryota; Viridiplantae; Streptophyta; Magnoliopsida; Dioscoreales; Dioscoreaceae
Exons: 3
Source: RefSeq, a predicted model, not a curated record
AAGGCGGAUCAAGAAUUAGUAAAUGCAAAAAAAUGAAGAGAGGAAGCGUCUUGAACUUUUUAUGGAGAUGAUGGAUAUGCAAAUGAAGGAGAUGAAAUCCAUGUCCAAAUCUAUUCGAGAAUUGGAAAUGAGACAGAGAAUGGCCGAUAUGAAGAUAAAUCGAUAGGAGUGCAUUCAAUGGGCAAUGAUUUUGGAGAAUUUAUGGUUAAAGAUCAAGAGGGUUCAAGAUGAGGAUACAUGAAGCUUUUUUACUUUGUGUAAUUAACUCAAAAAAUAUUUUUUAAUGAAAGUACACAAAUAGUGUAAAACACUUAUAUUUUGUUAUUACUCAAAAUACAUUACACUUUAAUUCA